Molecule: ribosomal RNA, 452 nt
Filed under: uncultured bacterium
Lineage: Bacteria
Description: bacterial SSU rRNA
Rfam family: Bacterial small subunit ribosomal RNA
Source: RNAcentral
CGCUGGCGGCGUGCCUAACACAUGCAAGUCGAACGGAGCUCCUUCGGGGGCUUAGUGGCGAACGGGUGAGUAACGCGUGAGAAACCUGCCUUUCAGUGUGGGAUAGCGGUUGGAAACGACCGGUAAUACCGCAUAAUGUAUUUUAGGGGCAUCCCUUUGAUACCAAAGCUUUAUGUGCUGAAAGAUGGUCUCGCGUCUGAUUAGCUAGAUGGCGGGGUAACGGCCCACCAUGGCGACGAUCAGUAGCCGGUCUGAGAGGAUGAACGGCCACAUUGGGACUGAGAUACGGCCCAGACUCCUACGGGAGGCAGCAGUGGGGAAUAUUGGGCAAUGGGGGAAACCCUGACCCAGCAACGCCGCGUGAAGGAAGAAGGCCUUCGGGUUGUAAACUUCUUUUACCAGGGACGAAGAACGUGACGGUACCUGGAGAAAAAGCCACGGCUAACUACGUG